CAGUCGAGGUGUCUCGACUUGACUGAGUAUUUUACGUUGGUGAAAAAUGAACAAUCCAGGUUCUCCCGUUGAACUACAUACUCUGAUUUCCAUCGGACCGAAAACGCACCACAGCCGUCAUAGUGUCACUGUUAGUAAAAGCACACGGCAACUAAAACACAACAUGAAAUUCUAAAGGG
Molecule: long non-coding RNA, 179 nt
Organism: Syngnathus acus (greater pipefish)
Lineage: Eukaryota; Metazoa; Chordata; Actinopteri; Syngnathiformes; Syngnathidae
Exons: 3
Source: RefSeq, a predicted model, not a curated record